Molecule: ribosomal RNA, 478 nt
Filed under: uncultured Neisseria sp.
Lineage: Bacteria; Pseudomonadati; Pseudomonadota; Betaproteobacteria; Neisseriales; Neisseriaceae
Description: bacterial SSU rRNA
Rfam family: Bacterial small subunit ribosomal RNA
Source: RNAcentral
CGCUGGCGGCAUGCUUUACACAUGCAAGUCGGACGGCAGCACAGAGAAGCUUGCUUCUCGGGUGGCGAGUGGCGAACGGGUGAGUAACAUAUCGGAACGUACCGAGUAGUGGGGGAUAACUGAUCGAAAGAUCAGCUAAUACCGCAUACGUCUUGAGAGAGAAAGCAGGGGACCUUCGGGUCUUGCGCUAUUCGAGCGGCCGAUAUCUGAUUAGCUAGUUGGUGGGGUAAAGGCUCACCAAGGCGACGAUCAGUAGCGGGUCUGAGAGGAUGAUCCGCCACACUGGGACUGAGACACGGCCCAGACUCCUACGGGAGGCAGCAGUGGGGAAUUUUGGACAAUGGGCGCAAGCCUGAUCCAGCCAUGCCGCGUGUCUGAAGAAGGCCUUCGGGUUGUAAAGGACUUUUGUCAGGGAAGAAAAGGCUGUUGCUAAUACCAGCGGCUGAUGACGGUACCUGAAGAAUAAGCACCGGCUAAC